GAUGAACGCUGGCGGCGUGCCUAAUACAUGCAAGUCGAGCGAACGGACGAGAAGCUUGCUUCUCUGAUGUUAGCGGCGGACGGGUGAGUAACACGUGGAUAACCUACCUAUAAGACUGGGAUAAUUUCGGGAAACCGGCGCUAAUACCGGAUAAUAUCUUGAACCGCAUGGUUCAAAAGUGAAAGACGGUCUUGCUGUCACUUAUAGAUGGAUCCGCGCUGCAUUAGCUAGUUGGUAAGGUAACGGCUUACCAAGGCAACGAUGCAUAGCCGACCUGAGAGAGUGAUCGGCCACCCUGGAACUGAGACACGGUCCAGACUCCUACGGGAGGCAGCAGUAGGGAAUCUUCCGCAAUAGGCGAAAACCUGACGGAGCAACGCCGCGUGAGUUAUGAAGGUCUUCGGAUCGUAAAACUCUGUUAUUAGGGAAGAACAUAUGUGUAAGUAACUGUGCACAUCUUGACGGUACCUAAUCAGAAAGCCACGGCUAACUACGUG
This 497-nucleotide ribosomal RNA is filed under the name uncultured bacterium. Its description in RNAcentral is "partial 16S ribosomal RNA". It matches the Rfam family "Bacterial small subunit ribosomal RNA", at positions 28 to 507 of the family's 1533-position model. The record is from RNAcentral.